CAGUAGCCGCGGUAAUACGUAUGUCGCGAGCGUUAUCCGGGGUUAUUGGGCAUAAAGGGCAUCUAGGCGGCACGACAAGUCAGGGGUGAAAACUUGCGGCUCAACUGCAAGCUUGCCUUUGAAACUGUAGUGCUAGAGUAUUGGAAAGGUGGGCGGAACUACACGAGUAGAGGUGAGAUUCGUAGAUAUGUGUAGGAAUGCCGAUGAUGAAGAUAGCUCACUGGACGAUAACUGACGCUGAAGUGCGAAAGCUCGGGGAGCGAACAGGAUUAGAUACCCCCGUAGUCCCUGUCUCUUAUAC
This 301-nucleotide ribosomal RNA is filed under the name uncultured bacterium. RNAcentral describes it as "partial 16S ribosomal RNA". It matches the Rfam family "Bacterial small subunit ribosomal RNA", at positions 509 to 807 of the family's 1533-position model. The record is from RNAcentral.